GAUGAACGCUGGCGGCGUGCCUAAUACAUGCAAGUCGAGCGAACGGACGAGAAGCUUGCUUCUCUGAUGUUAGCGGCGGACGGGUGAGUAACACGUGGAUAACCUACCUAUAAGACUGGGAUAACUUCGGGAAACCGGAGCUAAUACCGGAUAAUAUUUUGAACCGCAUGGUUCAAAAGUGAAAGACGGUUUUGCGGUCACUUAUAGAUGGAUCCGCGCUGCAUUAGCUAGUUGGUAAGGUAACGGCUUACCAAGGCAACGAUGCAUAGCCGACCUGAGAGGGUGAUCGGCCACACUGGAACUGAGACACGGUCCAGACUCCUACGGGAGGCAGCAGUAGGGAAUCUUCCGCAAUGGGCGAAAGCCUGACGGAGCAACGCCGCGUGAGUGAUGAAGGUCUUCGGAUCGUAAAACUCUGUUAUUAGGGAAGAACAUAUGUGUAAGUAACUGUGCACAUCUUGACGGUACCUAAUCAGAAAGCCACGGCUAACUACGUG
Molecule: ribosomal RNA, 497 nt
Filed under: uncultured bacterium
Lineage: Bacteria
Description: partial 16S ribosomal RNA
Rfam family: Bacterial small subunit ribosomal RNA
Source: RNAcentral